AUGGCUUCGGUCGUCCCUGCAUCGCUGCCAAGGCCUGUUGCACUGCCUCCUGGCGCACCUCUAAACACGUACACUCCAUUGACUGGUAACGGUGCACCAGGUGGAAGAUAACUUGCACUUUGCAUUGAAAUAAAUGAACCUUUCUAUCGACGCUUCCGAACGAAGCGAGUUUUUCUCCCGGUCAUGUGGAAUGACAUUUUAUUCGGGAUAGAAGAGUGGGAUAUAUGCGGAGCAAGGUAUUGAGCUUUGUAUAAUUUAUUUAAAGAACAGCUAGAAAAAUGAAAAUUUUACAAAUCAAAAUUU
Molecule: long non-coding RNA, 303 nt
Filed under: Pogonomyrmex barbatus (red harvester ant)
Lineage: Eukaryota; Metazoa; Arthropoda; Insecta; Hymenoptera; Formicidae
Description: uncharacterized LOC112552563, transcript variant X2
Source: RNAcentral